RNAcentral lists this ribosomal RNA (496 nucleotides) under uncultured bacterium. Its description in RNAcentral is "partial 16S ribosomal RNA". It matches the Rfam family "Bacterial small subunit ribosomal RNA", at positions 28 to 508 of the family's 1533-position model. The record is from RNAcentral.
GACGAACGCUGGCGGCGUGCCUAAUACAUGCAAGUCGAACGCUGAAGGAGGAGCUUGCUUCGCUGGUUGAGUUGCGAACGGGUGAGUAACGCGUAGGUAACCUGCCUGGUAGCGUGGGAUAACUAUAGGAAACGAUAGCUAAUACCGCAUAAUAGCUGCUGUUGCAUGGCAACGGUUUGAAAGGUGCAAUUGCUGCACAACCAGACGGACCUGCGUUGUUUUUGCUAGUUGGUGGGGGAACGGCUCCCCAAGGCGGGGAUACAUGGCCGACCUGGGAGGGGGGGCGGGCACGCUGGGACUGGGGCACGGCCCCAAUGCCUCUGGGAUGCAGCAGUAGGGAAUCUGCGGCGAAGGAGGGAAGUCUGACCCAGCAACGCCGCGAGAGUGAAGAAGGUUUUCGGAUCGUAAAGCUCUGGUGUAAGAGUAGAACGCGUGUGAGAGUGGAAAGGACACGCUGGUACGGUAUCUUACCAGAGAGGCACGGCUAACUUCGUUC